RNAcentral lists this ribosomal RNA (274 nucleotides) under uncultured bacterium. RNAcentral's name for it is "partial 16S ribosomal RNA". It matches the Rfam family "Bacterial small subunit ribosomal RNA", at positions 523 to 796 of the family's 1533-position model. The record is from RNAcentral.
AUACGGAGGGGGCUAGCGUUGUUCGGAUUUACUGGGCGUAAAGCGCACGUAGGCGGUUUAUCAAGUUAGGCGUGAAAGCCCCGGGCUCAACCCGGGAACUGCGCUUAUUACUGAUAGACUAGAGAGCGGGAGAGGGUAGCGGAAUUCCCAGUGUAGAGGUGAAAUUCGUAGAUAUUGGGAAGAACACCAGUUGCGAAGGCGGCUACCUGGCCCGGUACUGACGCUGAGGUGCGAAAGCGUGGGGAGCAAACAGGAUUAGAAACCCCAGUAGUCC